UAGGGAAUCUUCCGCAAUGGACGCAAGUCUGACGGAGCAACGCCGCGCGAGUGAAGAAGGAUUUCGGUUCGUAAAACUCUGUUGUUAGAGAAGAACAGCGCAUAGAGUAACUGUUAUGCGUGUGACGGUAUCUAACCAGAAAGCCACGGCUAACUACGUGCCAGCAGCCGCGGUAAUACGUAGGUGGCAAGCGUUGUCCGGAUUUAUUGGGCGUAAAGCGAGCGCAGGCGGUCAAUUAAGUCUGAUGUGAAAGCCCCCGGCUCAACCGGGGGGGGUCAUUGGAAACUGGUUGACUUGAGUGCAGAAGAGGAGAGUGGAGUUCCAUGUGUAGCGGUGAAAUGCGAAAAUAUAUGGAGGGACACCAGUGGCGAAGGCGACUCUCUGGUAUGUAACUAGCGCUGAGGCUCGACAGCGUGGGUAGCAAACAGG
This 429-nucleotide ribosomal RNA is filed under the name Bacteroidota bacterium. RNAcentral's name for it is "Bacteroidetes bacterium partial 16S ribosomal RNA". It matches the Rfam family "Bacterial small subunit ribosomal RNA", at positions 355 to 776 of the family's 1533-position model. Lineage: Bacteria; Pseudomonadati; Bacteroidota. The record is from RNAcentral.